Mus pahari (shrew mouse) is the source of this 1259-nucleotide long non-coding RNA. RefSeq lists it as uncharacterized. The record is from RefSeq and is a predicted model, not a curated record. NCBI's taxonomy places the organism in Eukaryota, Metazoa, Chordata, Mammalia, Rodentia, Muridae. The transcript has 3 exons.
GUGUGUGGCCCUGGGCAGCUCUCAGCCUGCCUACUUUGAACUUCGGCUAGGACAGGCCUUGGAUCUAAAGGGUCCUUUAGCCCCAAACACACCCAGCACUUCGAGGGAAGCAAAAAAUUCCAAAGAGCACAGUUUGGGAAACAUUGACCAGUAAGACAGUCUCCAGUACUGUGCUGGGAGUCUUUUAGAUGAUCAUGUCUCAUUGGUGACUUAGAAGGCGCCCAGUGUCUACUGGUCCGGUCAACAGUCAUGUGAACCUGAGUGGGAUGGAGAUGGAGUUAGUGAUGGGUCCAAAGGCUUUGAUGGGGUCAAAAGCUCAAGGAAGUCUGAAACAUCGCAACUGUGAGCUGAAGACCCCAAACUUGGCUUAAAGUGCAGCGUUGAGAGACGAUGUAAGCCUUCUUGACUUGUAUGUUUUCUUGCACUACAGAGAAUGAGUUCUGGACCUAGCACAUGCCAGGCCAGCACUCCAUGACUGAGCUACAUCUCCAACCUUCAGUAUUACCAUCGAGCCCCAUUCAGCAAUGGGAAAAUGAAAUCACCUACCGAUCUCAUAACUUACCUAAGAUGGUCCAAGCUAGCAGGUGUCAGAGCAUGUCAGAGACCAGACCCCUUCAGGGUCUGCUGACUCUGGCCUGGGCAGAGGCUGACUUGGAGCAUCACGCUCAUACCUUUCCGAGCAAGCAGCGCAUGUGUGGGGAGUGGAUGCAGGAUGCAGGAGUUGGGCUGUCUACAUUACCUGGAUGUACCCAGUUGCUGGUAGCAAGAUCGGAUGCUCCACGCUGGUUUUUAAUGGAGUCACACGUUCCUGGUCCUCACUUUGGGGUGGUGGUUUCAGGAACUGGGCAGCCCCACGUUGGGAUAAGAAAGCUGUAACCACUAGGUUCAAGGAAGUCUCACUCACAUAGAGGAAGACAAACCCAAGCUAUGGACUUAGCUUUGCUGUGCCUCAGUUUCCUCCUUUAGUAAGGAGGGGGAGUGGUCUCGAGGCAUACCUGCUGAGGGAUGUCUGGUGUUACCUUCCCCACCUGGGAAAUAGUCAGGGGCCAUGUCACUGGUCCUUCGUGACACAGAUGAUGCCGGUUCCCAGGCCUCAGCCUUGAAGACCAAGGCCAUUUGCCUCCCGGGGGGCCUCUGGCUUUGGAAGGCUUCCCAGGAAUCCUUGAGCUAAGCAUUAUCUUUUCAGCCAGUGUGAGACUUUUGCUUGGGGCUUCCAAACUAAACUAGCUUUGCCUUAAAUACAAGAAAUCAAUCCUUGC